GNNUUNNNNUUGUAACCUCUUUCANCANGGAAGAAGCGAGAGUGACGGUACCUGCAGAAGAAGCGCCGGCUAACUACGUGCCAGCAGCCGCGGUAAUACGUAGGGCGCAAGCGUUGUCCGGAAUUAUUGGGCGUAAAGAGCUCGUAGGCGGCUUGUCGCGUCGGUUGUGAAAGCCCGGGGCUUAACCCCGGGUCUGCAGUCGAUACGGGCAGGCUAGAGUUCGGUAGGGGAGAUCGGAAUUCCUGGUGUAGCGGUGAAAUGCGCAGAUAUCAGGAGGAACACCGGUGGCGAAGGCGGAUCUCUGGGCCGAUACUGACGCUGAGGAGCGAAAGCGUGGGGAGCGAACAGGAUUAGAUACCCUGGUAGUCC
Molecule: ribosomal RNA, 369 nt
Filed under: uncultured bacterium
Lineage: Bacteria
Description: partial 16S ribosomal RNA
Rfam family: Bacterial small subunit ribosomal RNA
Source: RNAcentral